This is a non-coding RNA of Ictidomys tridecemlineatus (thirteen-lined ground squirrel), 1071 nucleotides long. The record is from RefSeq and is a predicted model, not a curated record. NCBI's taxonomy places the organism in Eukaryota, Metazoa, Chordata, Mammalia, Rodentia, Sciuridae.
AAAGAGGUUUUUAAACACACCCUUUCUUCCCCUUAGGGUUUUCCCUAAGUCAUCCCUUCCCUGUCAGAGCUUGCUGCACACACAGAGGCACAGCACUUGACAGGUGUUAGGAGCUACAUUAGCCACUCAGGUAAUUGUCUAACCCACUAGACUUUUUAAGUGCCUCAAGACUAGGAACCCUCCCCUUAGCCUCAAUACCUCUUCUGGGCCUGUUUUUUGACCUGAACAAAGGGGAAAAAAAAAACCCCACAGGACCCAAAAGACUGAAAUAAGUAGUCUAAGUGGAGCAGAGAGAGUAGCCACAGCUUGGGGUGACAUAACAGAGCAGUCAUGGAAGACCCAUGGUGAAGAUGUGUUCUCAUAUUCUUACCAGAAAUUGCCACAGUCAUGCAGCAUUCAGUAACCCACCACCCAAUCAGUCGGCAGCCCUCAACAUCGAGGGAAGAUCCUCCAACAGCAAAAUGAUUAUGGUUCACUGAAGGCUCAGAAGAUCAUUUGCAAUAAAGGAUCCUUUCAAAUACGGUUGCCUUCAAACUGUUUCAGAAAACUCCAUGGCAUGAUGGACUAGAUCUAUUUUGUGGAACAGCAAUUCUGAGAAUGCCAUAUCAAAGCUAGCACCGACCUCUUGGCUUCCAUGAACCCGUGUAAGUGAUGAUCUGCUCCACGAAGGCUGCCAUUGCUCCAGUUAUUGCUUUCACUUUCAUUUCUGCCUAAAUGUUCCAUUCUCCAAAUGCAAUGAAUAUUAAUUACUUUCAGGUUGCAAUCAUUUUAUCCUUUUAAACUCACAUUUCUUUCUUAAAUGCAACUGUAAACUUGUAGUUUAGAUUUUGUUUUGCUUGUUAAGUCCUUAAAGAUGAUGCUGAACAAUUAAAAUCCAAUUUAGACUGACAAAAUACUUCAAUAAUAUAAAGUGGUAUUGUUUUAUGGUCAAGUCCUGACCAUAUAGAGAAGUUGUUUCAAACAAUUUUUGCUUGGAUUCCAAGACUAUAUCUAUUUGGUAUUGAGGGAGAUUAAAUUAUCUAGAUUGUCUCCAAUAAAGAGGAUUCUCACUUUCUGAAAAUAUUAAAGCAC